This 381-nucleotide ribosomal RNA is filed under the name uncultured bacterium. RNAcentral describes it as "bacterial SSU rRNA". It matches the Rfam family "Bacterial small subunit ribosomal RNA", at positions 524 to 900 of the family's 1533-position model. The record is from RNAcentral.
GACGGAGGGUGCGAGUGUUAUUCGGAUUUAUUGGGCGUAAAGAGCGUGUAGGCGGCCGGCCAAGUCAGAUGUGAAAGCCCAGGGCUCAACCCUGGAAGUGCAUUUGAAACUGGUUGGCUUGAGUUCGGGAGAGGGAAGUGGAAUUCCGGGUGUAGAGGUGAAAUUCGUAGAUAUCCGGAGGAACACCGGUGGCGAAGGCGACUUCCUGGACCGAAACUGACGCUGAGACGCGGAAGCGUGGGGGAGCAAACAGGAUUAGAUACCCAGGGUAGUCCCACGCUGUAAACGAUGGGCGCUAGGUGUGGGGGGUUUUUAAGUCCCUCCGUGCCGCAGCUAACGCAUUAAGCGCCCCGCCUGGGAGUACGGCCGCAAGGUUAAAAC